AACGAACGCUGGCGGCAGGCUUAACACAUGCAAGUCGAACGCAUCCUUCGGGGUGAGUGGCAGACGGGUGAGUAACGCGUGGGAACGUGCCCUUCAGUUCGGAAUAACCCAGGGAAACUUGGGCUAAUACCGGAUACGUGCGAGAGCAGAAAGAUUUAUCGCUGAAGGAUCGGCCCGGGUCUGAUUAGCUAGUUGGUGAGGUAAUGGCUCACCAAGGCGACGAUCAGUAGCUGGUCUGAGAGGAUGAUCAGCCACAUUGGGACUGAGACACGGCCCAAACUCCUACGGGAGGCAGCAGUGGGGAAUAUUGGACAAUGGGCGUAAGCCUGAUCCAGCCAUGCCGCGUGAGUGAUGAAGGCCUUAGGGUUGUAAAGCUCUUUCAGUGGGGACGAUAAUGACGGUACCCGCAGAAGAAGCCCCGGCUAACUUCGUGCCAGCCGCCGCCGUAA
Molecule: ribosomal RNA, 449 nt
Filed under: uncultured bacterium
Lineage: Bacteria
Description: partial 16S ribosomal RNA
Rfam family: Bacterial small subunit ribosomal RNA
Source: RNAcentral